RNAcentral lists this ribosomal RNA (539 nucleotides) under Exophiala nidicola. Its description in RNAcentral is "partial 28S large subunit ribosomal RNA". It matches the Rfam family "Eukaryotic large subunit ribosomal RNA", at positions 65 to 611 of the family's 3401-position model. The record is from RNAcentral. Lineage: Eukaryota; Fungi; Ascomycota; Eurotiomycetes; Chaetothyriales; Herpotrichiellaceae.
CCAACAGGGAUUGCCUCAGUAACGGCGAGUGAAGCGGCAACAGCUCAAAUUUGAAAUCUGGCCUCUUUGGGGUCCGAGUUGUAAUUUGUAGAGGAUGUUUCGGGCACCGCUCCGGUUUAAAUUUCUUGGAACAGAAUGUCAAAGAGGGUGAGAACCCCGUCUUGGACCGGCAGUAGGGCCCAUGUGAAACUCCUUCGACGAGUCGAGUUGUUUGGGAAUGCAGCUCAAAAUGGGUGGUAAAUUUCAUCUAAAGCUAAAUAUUGGCCAGAGACCGAUAGCGCACAAGUAGAGUGAUCGAAAGAUGAAAAGCACUUUGAAAAGAGAGUUAAACAGUACGUGAAAUUGUUGAAAGGGAAGCGCUUGCAACCAGACUUGCGCGCGGCGGUUCCCCCUUCCUUUUGGUUGGGUUAUUCCGCCGUGUCCAGGCCAACAUCGGUUCUGGGGGUCGGUUAAAGGCCCAGGGAAUGUAUCUACCCUUCGGGCGUAGACUUAUAGCCCUGGGUGUCAUGCGACCUCCCGGGACCGAGGAACGCGCUUCG